RNAcentral lists this transfer RNA (84 nucleotides) under Felis catus (domestic cat). It matches the Rfam family "tRNA". From Rfam's summary of the family: Transfer RNA (tRNA) molecules are approximately 80 nucleotides in length. Their secondary structure includes four short double-helical elements and three loops (D, anti-codon, and T loops). The record is from Rfam by way of RNAcentral. RNAcentral also lists the same sequence under 1 other name. Lineage: Eukaryota; Metazoa; Chordata; Mammalia; Carnivora; Felidae.
GCCUGGGUGGCUUAGUUGGUUGAGCGUCCGACUUCGGCUCAGGUCAUGAUCUCGUGGUCGUGGGUUCGAGUCCCACAUCGGGCU